ACGCUAGCUACAGGCUUAACACAUGCAAGUCGAGGGGAAACGGCAUUUAGUGCUUGCACUGAAUGGACGUCGACCGGCGCACGGGUGAGUAACGCGUAUCCAACCUUCCCAUUACUUUGGGAUAACCUGCCGAAAGGCAGACUAAUACCUCAUAGUCUUCGAUGACGGCAUCAGAUUUGAAGUAAAGAUUUAUCGGUAAUGGAUGGGGAUGCGUCUGAUUAGCUUGUUGGCGGGGUAACGGCCCACCAAGGCAACGAUCAGUAGGGGUUCUGAGAGGAAGGUCCCCCACAUUGGAACUGAGACACGGUCCAAACUCCUACGGGAGGCAGCAGUGAGGAAUAUUGGUCAAUGGACGUAAGUCUGAACCAGCCAAGUAGCGUGCAGGAUGACGGCCCUAUGGGUUGUAAACUGCUUUUGUAUGGGGAUAAAGUCAAUCACGUGUGAUUGUUUGCAGGUACCAUACGAAUAAGGACCGGCUAAUACCGUGCCAGCAGCCGCGGUAAUACGGAAGGUUCGGGCGUUAUCCGGAUUUAUUGGGUUUAAAGGGAGCGUAGGCCGGAGAUUAAGUGUGUUGUGAAAUGUAGACGCUCAACGUCUGAAUUGCAGCGCAUACUGGUUUCCUUGAGUACGCACAACGUUGGCGGAAUUCGUCGUGUAGCGGUGAAAUGCUUAGAUAUGACGAAGAACUCCGAUUGCGAAGGCAGCUGACGGGAGCGCAACUGACGCUGAAGCUCGAAGGUGCGGGUAUCGAACAGGAUUAGAUACCCUGGUAGUCCGCACAGUAAACGAUGGAUGCCCGCUGUUGGUACCUAGUAUCAGCGGCUAAGCGAAAGCAUUAAGCAUCCCACCUGGGGAGUACGCCGGCAACGGUGAAACUCAAAGGAAUUGACGGGGGCCCGCACAAGCGG
Molecule: ribosomal RNA, 908 nt
Filed under: uncultured bacterium
Lineage: Bacteria
Description: bacterial SSU rRNA
Rfam family: Bacterial small subunit ribosomal RNA
Source: RNAcentral